Molecule: ribosomal RNA, 207 nt
Filed under: uncultured bacterium
Lineage: Bacteria
Description: partial 16S ribosomal RNA
Rfam family: Bacterial small subunit ribosomal RNA
Source: RNAcentral
UGCGUAGGCGGGUUUUUAAGUCAGAGGUGAAAUCCUGGAGCUCAACUCCAGAACUGCCUUUGAUACUGGGAAUCUUGAGUAUGGAAGAGGUGAGUGGAACUGCGAGUGUAGAGGUGAAAUUCGUAGAUAUUCGCAAGAACACCAGUGGCGAAGGCGGCUCACUGGUCCAUAACUGACGCUGAGGCACGAAAGCGUGGGGAGCAAACA